GGUUCUGCUCCCCUUUCCUGGCGUUGGCGGCUCAGAGGGGAUCGCAGUUUGCCCUAGGGGCUUGUAGGGUGGUGGGUCUAGGCAGUUAGCCCAUGGGAAAGCCCGCAGCUGACCGUGGCUGAAGCUGACCUCCAAAGUGGAUAUCCCCUCCAAACACACGUCCCAAGGCCGGGCUUCUGGUAGAUGGCACAGCCUAAACCGCAGGGCUUUGGACUCUAAACGUCGUCUUUCCCCUCACGGGUCUCCUGAGCUGGUUUAGGGCGUAUGUGAAGGUGGUAGAAAGCAGAGGCUCUGAAGAGUCGGGGCUACAAACGCACGAGGCUAUGUUUCCUUAUCUGUGAAAUGGGAGGUGGCCGUUUCCCUUGGAAGGCUGUUGGAAGGCAUGUACAUUGUGGCUGUAAAGAAACAGUGGGUUUCUCUAGUGUCCCAGAUUGCCAUCAAAUCCAGGAUCCCCCUGCCUCAGAUCAGCCUUCUGAGUGCUGGGGUUGCAGAUGUGCCCCCCAUGCCUGUUUCAAAUUUGCUGUCUCGCAGUUCUGGGCACACACGUCUAAAAUGAGUUGUCUGGCUUAAAUGAGAGCUUGGACAGGGUUUUUCUGUGUAACAGAGCCCUGGCUCUCCUGGACUCGAUUUGUAGACCAGGCUGACCUCGAACUCCUGCCUCCUGAGUGCCGGCAUUAAAGGCGUGCACCACCACACCUGGCUUUGAUGUUGAUUCUGAACUGUCAACUUGGCUGGAUUUAAAAUCGACCAGGAGGCCAGGCUUUGGGCGUGUCUUAUUUCCAGAGAGGUGAGAGGUCUGCUUCUGACGAGCUGUUCUUGUUAACUGGAGCAUAUCAACCCUGGACAUCGUGUUUUGUAAAGCUCACCCUGAGAAAGGCUCAGAGCGCCAGCAGGAUCCUAACAGCCAGUGCCGUCACUGAUAAAGGCUUUCUGUUGGCUUAAGCCCGUGUCUGAGCGGUCUUGUCUAGUGGACAGUCCACAGCCAUUGAGCUGAGCACCAGCCCACGGCUCUCUGCUUCCUGUCUGUGGCUGCAGUGUGACCGUCUGCCUGACGAUCCUGUCACCAUGCCUUUCCUCCUCCGGGGGACUGUCCCCUCAGACCUGUCCCCUCAGAGCCAACACAGAUGCUUCCUCUGCUGUUAGGUACUUUGUCAUAGCAACCAGAUAAAUAUCCAACACGCCACUUCCUUGUUUGUCCA
Molecule: long non-coding RNA, 1199 nt
Organism: Psammomys obesus (fat sand rat)
Lineage: Eukaryota; Metazoa; Chordata; Mammalia; Rodentia; Muridae
Exons: 4
Source: RefSeq, a predicted model, not a curated record